This 497-nucleotide ribosomal RNA is filed under the name uncultured bacterium. RNAcentral describes it as "partial 16S ribosomal RNA". It matches the Rfam family "Bacterial small subunit ribosomal RNA", at positions 28 to 507 of the family's 1533-position model. The record is from RNAcentral.
GAUGAACGCUGGCGGCGUGCCUAAUACAUGCAAGUCGAGCGAACAGAUGAGGAGCUUGCUCCUCUGACGUUAGCGGCGGACGGGUGAGUAACACGUGGAUAACCUACCUAUAAGACUGGGAUAACUUCGGGAAACCGGAGCUAAUACCGGAUAAUAUAUUGAACCGCAUGGUUCAAUAGUGAAAGACGGUUUUGCUGUCACUUAUAGAUGGAUCCGCGCCGCAUUAGCUAGUUGGUAAGGUAACGGCUUACCAAGGCAACGAUGCGUAGCCGACCUGAGAGGGUGAUCGGCCACACUGGAACUGAGACACGGUCCAGACUCCUACGGGAGGCAGCAGUAGGGAAUCUUCCGCAAAGGGCGAAAGCCUGACGGAGCAACGCCGCGUGAGUGAUGAAGGUCUUCGGAUCGUAAAACUCUGUUAUUAGGGAAGAACGAAUGUGUAAGUAACUAUGCACGUCUUGACGGUACCUAAUCAGAAAGCCACGGCUAACUACGUG